This 136-nucleotide small nucleolar RNA is filed under the name Microcebus murinus (gray mouse lemur). The record is from RNAcentral. Lineage: Eukaryota; Metazoa; Chordata; Mammalia; Primates; Cheirogaleidae.
UUGGCCCUGAAUCAAGGCUGGCAGUUUGCUGAAGCUGUUGGUUUGAAACAGGAGCCUAAAGAACCAUCUUUCUAUGGUCUGUUGGCCAUUUCAGAACUUUGGAAAUGUAAUGUCAAUGCAUUAGAAAGAAACAUCU